Mycena rebaudengoi is the source of this 125-nucleotide non-coding RNA. Lineage: Eukaryota; Fungi; Basidiomycota; Agaricomycetes; Agaricales; Mycenaceae. The record is from the annotation of a GenBank genome assembly.
GGUGAGAUGGCCGAGCGGUCUAAGGCGCCAGACUAAGGAUCCAGCACUGUUUCAGUGUCCAAUGAGCAUCACACGCUUACGUAAUCUGGUCCUCCGGGGCGUGGGUUCGAAUCCCACUCUCAUCA